RNAcentral lists this long non-coding RNA (584 nucleotides) under Salmo salar (Atlantic salmon). RNAcentral's name for it is "lncRNA (ENSSSAG00000102174.1)". The record is from RNAcentral. Lineage: Eukaryota; Metazoa; Chordata; Actinopteri; Salmoniformes; Salmonidae.
CCCGUCUUUGUGAUUUUUUCCUCUGUUUGCCGAAAAGGAGAUUCCCGGGUCGGAAUAUUAUCGCUUUUCUACGAGAAAAAUGGCAUAAAAAUUGAUUUUAAACAGCGGUUGACAUGCUUCGAAGUACGGUAAUGGAAUAUUUAGAAUUUUUUUGUCACGAAUUGCGCCAUGCGCACGACCCUUAUUUACCAUUUCGGAUAGUGUCUGGGACGCACGAACAAAACGCCGCUAUUCGGAUAUAACGAUGGAUUAUUUUGGACCAAACCAACAUUUGUUAUUGAAGUGGCAGUCCUGGGAGUGCAUUCUGACGAAGACAACAAAAGGACCUGAGCCCUAGGACCAUGCCUCAGGACUACCUGGUAUGAUGACUCCUUGCUGUCCCCAGUCCACCUGGCCGUGCUGCUGCUCCAGUUUCAACUGUUCUGCCUGCGGCUAUGGAACCCUGACCUGUUCACCGGACGUGCUUGUUGCACCCUCGACAACUACUAUGAUUAUUAUUAUUUGACCAUGCUGGUCAUUUAUGAACAUUUUAACAUUUUAACAUUUUGACCAUGUUCUGUUAUAAUAUCCACCCUGCACAGCCA